Molecule: ribosomal RNA, 496 nt
Filed under: uncultured bacterium
Lineage: Bacteria
Description: partial 16S ribosomal RNA
Rfam family: Bacterial small subunit ribosomal RNA
Source: RNAcentral
AUGAACGCUGGCGACGUGCCUAAUACAUGCCCGUCGAGCGAACAGACGAGGAGCUUGCUCCUCUGACGUUAGCGGCGGACGGGUGAGUAACACGUGGAUAACCUACCUAUAAGACUGGGAUAACUUCGGGAAACCGGAGCUAAUACCGGAUAAUAUAUUGAACCGCAUGGUUCAAUAGUGAAAGACGGUUUUGCUGUCACUUAUAGAUGGAUCCGCGCCGCAUUAGCUAGUUGGUAAGGUAACGGCUUACCAAGGCGACGAUGCGUAGCCGACCUGAGAGGGUGAUCGGCCACACUGGAACUGAGACACGGUCCAGACUCCUACGGGAGGCAGCAGUAGGGAAUCUUCCGCAAUGGGCGAAAGCCUGACGGAGCAACGCCGCGUGAGUGAUGAAGGUCUUCGGAUCGUAAAACUCUGUUAUUAGGGAAGAACAAAUGUGUAAGUAACUAUGCACGUCUUGACGGUACCUAAUCAGAAAGCCACGGCUAACUACGUG